This is a non-coding RNA of Conoideocrella luteorostrata, 81 nucleotides long. The record is from the annotation of a GenBank genome assembly. Lineage: Eukaryota; Fungi; Ascomycota; Sordariomycetes; Hypocreales; Clavicipitaceae.
GACAUCUUGGCCGAGUGGUUAAGGCGUUGCCCUGCUAAGGCAAUACAUUCGUGUGCGUAGGUUCGAAUCCUGCAGAUGUCG